Leopardus geoffroyi (Geoffroy's cat) is the source of this 607-nucleotide long non-coding RNA. RefSeq lists it as uncharacterized. The transcript is spliced from 3 exons. Lineage: Eukaryota; Metazoa; Chordata; Mammalia; Carnivora; Felidae. The record is from RefSeq and is a predicted model, not a curated record.
CAUGGCUACUGGUUGUAUAUUACCUUGUACCUUUUCAUAGUUGCUUCUUUAGAGGAUGGUUUAUUUCCUCAGUUAAACUUUAAUACCUUCAAUGGAGAAUUUUGACUAAGCUGGGCUCAUUUGAAGUAAGGGGCCUGGGUUGCCCGAGAGGGGAGAAGAAGGCAUUCUGAAUGGAGACAACAUCACUGACACACUGUACAGAGACAGAAUGAGGAGAGCACUGGUAGGAAUCAGAUUCACACUGAAACAUCAGAUCUCCUGGGUCUUCAGUUUGCCAUCUCUGCAGAUACUGGGACUUGCCUGCCUCCAUACUCAUAUUGCCCACCCUGGAUGAAAUUGGACAUCAUGUCAUGAGAACACAUGCAGUCGAUGAACAGGCUCACAUUGCAAGGAAUGAAAGCUUCCAACAAAGCACCCAGCAUCAAGUCACAAGCACCAUGAGUGAGCCACUUGGAAACAGAUUCUCCAGCCUGUCAAGAAGCCUUCACAUGAAUGUAGCACUGGUCAAAAUCUGGACUGCAACCUCCUGAGAGACCCUGAGCCAAGCCACUCCUGAGUCCCUGACCCACAGAAAUUUGAAAAUAAUAAAUACUUAUUUUUGUCAUAA